GCCGUAGUUCAGCGGCAGAACCCCUGCUCUGCAUGCAGAAGGAAGUCCCAGGUUGUGUGCCAGCUUCAGUCCCUGGCAUAUGCA
Molecule: non-coding RNA, 84 nt
Organism: Podarcis lilfordi (Lilford's wall lizard)
Lineage: Eukaryota; Metazoa; Chordata; Lepidosauria; Squamata; Lacertidae
Source: the annotation of a GenBank genome assembly